UACGGAGGAUGCAAGCGUUAUCCGGAAUGAUUGGGUGUAAAGGGUCCGCAGGUGGCAAUGUAAGUCUGCUGUCAAAGAAUGAGGCUUAACCUCAUCAAGGCAGUGGAAACUACAUAGCUAGAGUACGGUCGGGGUAGAAGGAAUUCCUGGUGUAGCGGUGAAAUGCGUAGAGAUCAGGAAGAACACCGGUGGCGAAAGCGUUCUGCUGGACCUGUACUGACACUGAGGGACGAAAGCUAGGGGAGCGAAUGGG
Molecule: ribosomal RNA, 253 nt
Filed under: uncultured bacterium
Lineage: Bacteria
Description: partial 16S ribosomal RNA
Rfam family: Bacterial small subunit ribosomal RNA
Source: RNAcentral